Molecule: ribosomal RNA, 253 nt
Filed under: uncultured bacterium
Lineage: Bacteria
Description: partial 16S ribosomal RNA
Rfam family: Bacterial small subunit ribosomal RNA
Source: RNAcentral
UACGAAGGGGGCGAGCGUUGUUCGGAAUUACUGGGCGUAAAGGGCGCGUAGGCGGCGACCCAAGUCAGAUGUGAAAGUCCUGGGCUUAACCUGGGGACUGCAUUUGAUACCGGGUUGCUUGAAUUCGGGAGAGGAUAGCGGAAUUCCCAGUGUAGAGGUGAAAUUCGUAGAUAUUGGGAAGAACACCGGUGGCGAAGGCGGCUAUCUGGACCGACAUUGACGCUGAGGCGCGAAAGCGUGGGGAGCAAACAGG